GGGGCUCUUCGGACCUCAUGCUAUCGGAUGAACCCAGGUGGGAUUAGCUAGUUGGUGAGGUAAUGGCUCACCAAGGCGACGAUCUCUAACUGGUUUGAGAGAAUGACCAGUCACACUGGAACUGAGACACGGUCCAGACUCCUACGGGAGGCAGCAGUGGGGAAUAUUGCACAAUGGGCGCAAGCCUGAUGCAGCCAUGCCGCGUGUGUGAAGAAGGCCUUCGGGUUGUAAAGCACUUUCAGCGGGGAGGAAGGG
Molecule: ribosomal RNA, 255 nt
Filed under: Plesiomonas shigelloides
Lineage: Bacteria; Pseudomonadati; Pseudomonadota; Gammaproteobacteria; Enterobacterales; Enterobacteriaceae
Description: partial 16S ribosomal RNA
Rfam family: Bacterial small subunit ribosomal RNA
Source: RNAcentral